UUUCAUUUAAGUUUUAAUUAA
This 21-nucleotide non-coding RNA is filed under the name Caenorhabditis elegans. Lineage: Eukaryota; Metazoa; Nematoda; Chromadorea; Rhabditida; Rhabditidae. The record is from RNAcentral.